AACACGUAGUCAACAUGCCCAGGGGACGUGGAUAACCUCGGGAAACUGAGAAUAAACCGCGAUAGGUCACAAUUUCUGGAAUGGAUUUUGGCUUAAAUCUAUAUGGCCCCUGGAUUGGACUGCGGCCGAUCAGGCUGUUGGUGAGGUAAUGGCCCACCAAACCUGUAACCGGUACGGGCUCUGAGAGGAGGAGCCCGGAGAUGGGCACUGAGACAAGGGCCCAGGCCCUAUGGGGCGCAGCAGGCGCGAAACCUCUGCAAUGGGCGAAAGCCUGACAGGGUUACUCUGAGUGAUUUCCGCUAAGGGGAUCUUUUGACACCUCUAAAAAUGGUGUAGAAUAAGGGGUGGGCAAGUCUGGUGUCAGCCGCCGCGGUAAUACCAGCACCCCGAGUGGUCGGGACGAUUAUUGGGCCUAAAGCAUCCGUAGCCGGUUCUUCAAGUCUUCCGUUAAAUCCAGCCGCUCAACGGAUGGGCUGCGGAAGAUACUAUAGGACUAGGAGGCGGGAGAGGCAAGCGGUACUCAGUGGGUAGGGGUAAAAUCCUUUGAUCCAUUGAAGA
This 558-nucleotide ribosomal RNA is filed under the name uncultured archaeon. RNAcentral's name for it is "bacterial SSU rRNA". It matches the Rfam family "Archaeal small subunit ribosomal RNA", at positions 95 to 656 of the family's 1478-position model. The record is from RNAcentral.